AGCGAACGCUGGCGGCGUGCCUGACACAUGCAAGUCGAGCGUGAAAGCCCCUUCGGGGGUGAGUAAAGCGGCGAACGGGUGAGUAACACGUGGGUAACCUGCCUUCGAGAGGGGGAUAACCAUUCGAAAGGGUGGCUAAUACCCCAUAAGGCCACAGAUUCCAAGGGAUCAGGGGUAAAAGGUGGCAGAAACUUAGUUUCUGCUGUCGCUUGGAGAGGGGCCCGCGCGCCAUUAGUUAGUUGGUAGGGUAACGGCCUACCAAGACGACGAUGGCUGGCUGGUCUGAGAGGAUGAUCAGCCACACUGGGACUGAAACACGGCCCAGACUCCUACGGGAGGCAGCAGUGAGGAAUUUUGCGCAAUGGGGGAAACCCUGACGCAGCGACGCCGCGUGGGUGAAGAAGGCUUUCGAGUCGUAAAGCCCAGUCAGGUGGGACGAAUAAAGCUCGUCGAUAAAACGGGCUUUUUGACGGUACCACCAGAGGAAGCACCGGCUAACUCCGUG
RNAcentral lists this ribosomal RNA (505 nucleotides) under uncultured bacterium. RNAcentral describes it as "bacterial SSU rRNA". It matches the Rfam family "Bacterial small subunit ribosomal RNA", at positions 29 to 507 of the family's 1533-position model. The record is from RNAcentral.